RNA transcript from Salvia hispanica, 3059 nucleotides. RefSeq lists it as uncharacterized. Lineage: Eukaryota; Viridiplantae; Streptophyta; Magnoliopsida; Lamiales; Lamiaceae. The record is from RefSeq and is a predicted model, not a curated record.
CAAACCCAUUAACCCAAAAUCUCUCUCUCUCUCGUCAACGAGUUCUGCUGUUUUCACUUCAAGUCCUUUAAUUCACCCCAAAACCAAUCUCCCAAACUCCACUGUCGAUUCCAUUACUCGAUUUCAACUCGUCCUUCUCUCAAUUUUUCUUUCCCCAAUCCAUUUCGUUGUUUCUAUUGCUCUCCGUUUUCCUUAGGGUUUUAAUGAGUAAUUAGUGUAAUUUAUUUGGGGAAAAAAGUGAUUUUACCUUGCGUUAAUGGAGGUGCCGCCCCUCGCUCCGACUGCCGCGCGAAAUGGCGGAUUUGCGAUGCCGUCGUCUUCGUCCCAACCUUCUCGCAAGGAGUGGCGCGCUGUGUCCGAGCAAUCGCUUCGAAACUCCGCUAACGAGGAGUUGGAGCGUUCAAAACAAGUUCAUUCUGACGAGAGAUUGACAUACGAGUUACAGCAUGGGAGGGAGCCAGUGGAAGUGGAUUUUUGCUCGAUAACUAUUGAUGGGGAUUUGAACAACAAUAUUUUGCAGCAGAGAAUUCAUGAACUGGCAAAACAAAGGGAGGAAUUGCAGCUUAUGGAGAUUGAGCUUCGUGCACAGAACAUUGCGAGAUCAGAAAUUGCCAGAAUUCACAGUAACUUUGAUGCUCAAAUCACAGAGCAUGGAAAUGCUAAUGUUAAACUGCAGGAGCAAUUGCACGAAAAGGAAGAGAACAUACGUGAGCUGGAGAGAAAGAUUGAAGAGAAGGAUAGAGAGUUGCAUGCUAUUAGAUUGGACAAUGAAGCGGCUUGGGCUAAACAGGAUCUUUUGAGGGAACAAAGCAAAGAGCUUCAGAGCUACAGGAGGGAAAGGGACAGCUCAGAAGCUGAAAGGGUGCAGCAUAUUAGUCAAAUCCAUGAACUUCAGGAACAUAUUCAAGAGAAAGAUCGCCAGUUCAUGGAGUUGCAGGAACAGCAUAGGAUCGCUCAAGAAACCCUUAAUUUUAAAGAGGAGCAGUUACGAGAUGCUCAAGCCUGGAUGACUCGUGCACAUGAAUUGGAUGCUUUGAAUUCAAGUACUAACCACAAUUUACAAGCUGAGCUGCGAGAUCGUACAGAUCAUUAUAAUCAACUCUGGCUUGCUUGUCAAAGACAGUGUGGUGAGAUGGAAAGGCUUCAUUUGCACAUACAACAGCUCCAGCUUGAGUUGGUCGACGCUAGAGAGAAGACUGGAAGUAACAUGGAUGGUUCAAAUAUCUCCCAUAAAAGUCUGAUUGAAGCCUCUAAACUAGAACAGAGCAAUGACGGCCAGCAGGAUGUGAAUAUUAGAGGUUCACAGGGUACAAACAUUGGCAGCAUACAAAAUGGAAAUAUUGAAUGUGUUUCUGAUGGAAACACAUCAACACAGGCUGACAAUGUUCAAGUUGUUGCUUUUGCUCCUUCAUCCCUUCUUGGCAUGCCACCCUAUGCUCAACCAGGACAGGUGACUGCUUUGCAUCCAUUUGUAAUGCAUCAACAAGGUGUUCCUCACCCAUCACAUGUUAUGCAAUCUCAUUUUCACUCGGUAUCCACAAUGCCCUCCGAUCAAAAUUGGCAGCAGGGUCAACCGGAAGGCCAACAUGUUCCUAUCCCUAAUCAAUAUGAUCAGGAAACCGAACAAAAUUUGGUGAAAACUCACUCUAAUAUUGGCUACAAAGCUUCUGGGAAUGGUCAAAUUUUUCAUGUGACUAAUUUGGAAACAAAUAUCAGCCAAGGAUUAGAUGCUGAUUCAAUCCCAUCAACAAAUGAAGAUAGCAAGGUUCUCGACCCCACUGGAAAGAGUUAUGACAAGACACAAUCUCCAGAGAGCUUGCUGAAAGUUUCAUCGCAUUUUCGAAACGCACUUAGUUUAGAUCAUCUAGAACAUGAAAAUGACACUAAGCCACAGGAGAAACAAGUCAACCCUGUCCAUGAUCACGGAACCGAAAACAAGAGUGCAAUGGAAAAUCUCAAUCUUGCUGGCCUGGUGUUGUCCGAAAGAGAUGCUAGUGUUAAGAAUCUCAGUGAGGAGAUCACAAAUAACGGCUCGAGUACUGAUAAGGCUGGUGCAUCUGUAUCUGCGAGGCAGAAAAGUAUCACAGGAAACACUGCAGAAAGUUUUCUACUAGAUGAAAGAGUAUUAUUGGCUUCUAUAGUUCGCACAAUAGGCUCUGGUGGCAGAAUUAGGAUUAGUUCAACGCUUCCAAAUAGACUUGGGAAAAUGCUUGCCCCACUUCACUGGCAUGACUACAAAAGGAAGUAUGGAAAGCUUGAUGAUUUUAUAGCUGGUCAUCCAGAACUAUUUCUGAUUGAGGGCGACUACAUUCAGCUUCGUGAAGGCGCACAGGAAACCAUAGCAGCCUCAGCAGCUGUUGCCAGAGUUGCUGCGGCAGCCGCUGCAGCUCCAUUGUCAAACUCGUCAUUGUUGCCCUCUGUAGCAGUAACUCCCAUGGCUCAGUCCCACCGACUAAAGAAGGCCUCACCUCAUGACUCAUCGUAUGUAAAUGUUGAUAAGAGCAGCUUUAAUGAGCUUGGUGCUCCUAGACCCUUGAAUGCGAAUGAGCAUCCUUCUCAGUUCUCAGCUCCGCAGAGUCGCAACAUAAAUGGCGGUUCACUUCGUGUUCCUGGAGGAUCUCAUGGGAGGCCUGGAAUGAGUUCAGCUGGGAAACAACAAAGGGCAGUUGGGGCUGUGCCAAAUGUGAGAAGAUAAAAGUGUAAAGUCUCAUCAAUUGUCAGAGUAUGUCUUCACCAGUUCUUUCCUUCAAGGGUAUGCUAUGAGUCUCUUUUGCAGGAAAUGGCAGUAUUGCUAGAUUGUUGGCAUCAAGUGCUGUGAAAAGAAAUGGAAUGGACGACUGGCAAAAGGCUUUAAUCUAUCAAGUUAAACUGUCCAACUAUCUUUUUUGUCCUGUUCAAAUCGGUUCAGGAUGCUUGAUAUUAAAAGUAUCUAUACAUUUAUAUUUGGAGAGCUCAAAUUUUUUGUUUCUUCUUGUGUUGAGUGUGCAUUGAUGAAGAUGCAGCCUUCCAGCAUUUUGAUAUUUUGUUAAUGAAAAGGCAGUGCCAUGUUUUUGAAUUUA